Molecule: long non-coding RNA, 218 nt
Filed under: Mytilus galloprovincialis (Mediterranean mussel)
Lineage: Eukaryota; Metazoa; Mollusca; Bivalvia; Mytilida; Mytilidae
Source: RNAcentral
GAACAACAAUCUUAAAAGACCACUUUCGAGUUUGUCUGUCACUGAAAAAAACUCGUCAAUUAUGCAUGCCUUUAUGACAUCAUUUACCAGAUUGAGGGGUUCACUUCAGCACUGCUGAAAGACAAUUUUGAGAACUCAAUUUGCAGAAUAAUUCGUGCAAUAUAGCUUUAUAGUUUUCAAACCAUUCGCUCAACAUGGAAAGGAAGUGACGAUGCCCC